CCUAAGGUAGCGAAAUUCCUUGUCGGGUAAGUUCCGACCUGCACGAAUGGCGUAAUGAUGGCCAGGCUGUCUCCACCCGAGACUCAGUGAAAUUGAACUCGCUGUGAAGAUGCAGUGUACCCGCGGCAAGACGGAAAGACCCCGUGAACCUUUACUAUAGCUUGACACUGAACAUUGAGCCUUGAUGUGUAGGAUAGGUGGGAGGCUUUGAAGUGUGGACGCCAGUCUGCAUGGAGCCGGCCUUGAAAUACCACCCUUUAAUGUUUGAUGUUCUAACGUUGGCCCCUGACCGGGGUUGCGGACAGUGUCUGGUGGGUAGUUUGACUGGGGCGGUCUCCUCCUAAAGAGUAACGGAGGAGCACGAAGGUUGGCUAAUCCUGGUCGGACAUCAGGAGGUUAGUGCAAUGGCAUAAGCCAGCUUGACUGCGAGCGUGACGGCGCGAGCAGGUGCGAAAGCAGGUCAUAGUGAUCCGGUGGUUCUGAAUGGAAGGGCCAUCGCUCAACGGAUAAAAGGUACUCCGGGGAUAACAGGCUGAUACCGCCCAAGAGUUCAUAUCGACGGCGGUGUUUGGCACCUCGAUGUCGGCUCAUCACAUCCUGGGGCUGAAGUAGGUCCCAAGGGUAUGGCUGUUCGCCAUUUAAAGUGGUACGCGAGCUGGGUUUAGAACGUCGUGAGACAGUUCGGUCCCUAUCUGCCGUGGGCGCUGGAGAACUGAGGGGGGCUGCUCCUAGUACGAGAGGACCGGAGUGGACGCAUCACUGGUGUUCGGGUUGUCAUGCCAAUGGCACUGCCCGGUAGCUAAAUGCGGAAGAGAUAAGUGCUGAAAGCAUCUAAGCACGAAACUUGCCCCGAGAUGAGUUCUCCCUGACUCCUUGAGAGUCCUGAAGGAACGUUGAAGACGACGACGUUGAUAGGCCGGGUGUGUAAGCGCAGCGAUGCGUUGAGCUAACCGGUACUAAUGAACCGUGAGGCUUAACCUU
RNAcentral lists this ribosomal RNA (981 nucleotides) under human gut metagenome. RNAcentral describes it as "bacterial LSU rRNA". It matches the Rfam family "Bacterial large subunit ribosomal RNA", at positions 1950 to 2925 of the family's 2925-position model. The record is from RNAcentral.